This is a small nuclear RNA of Oryctolagus cuniculus (rabbit), 107 nucleotides long. NCBI's taxonomy places the organism in Eukaryota, Metazoa, Chordata, Mammalia, Lagomorpha, Leporidae. The record is from Ensembl.
GUGCUUGCUUUAGCAGCACAUACACUAAAAUUGGAACAAUACACAGAAGGUUAGCAUGGCCCCUUCACAAGGAUGAAACACAAAUUUAUAAAGUGUUUAUUUUUUCA